Molecule: RNase P RNA, 333 nt
Filed under: Lachnospiraceae bacterium
Lineage: Bacteria; Bacillati; Bacillota; Clostridia; Lachnospirales; Lachnospiraceae
Description: RNase P RNA component class A
Rfam family: Bacterial RNase P class A
About the family: Ribonuclease P (RNase P) is a ubiquitous endoribonuclease, found in archaea, bacteria and eukarya as well as chloroplasts and mitochondria.
Source: RNAcentral
CCAGUUGACUGAAUGAUCGCGCCAAUAUCAGGUGAGGAAAGUCCGGGCUUCACAGGGCAGGAUGCCAGAUAACGUCUGGCGGGAGAAAUCCCAGGACCAGUGCAACAGAAAUAUACCGCCGUAAGGUAAGGGUGAAAUGGCAGUGUAAGAGACUACCGCCUUGCUGGUAACAGGAAGGGCAUAUGUAAACUCCAUCCGAAGCAAGACCAAGCAGAAAGCGUUAAUAGGUUGCCCGCUGAGCUUUCAGGUGGGUCGCAAAGAUUUUACUGGUGACAGUAAAACAAGAUAGAUGAUCAUUCCAGACAGAACCCGGCUUAUAGGUCAGCUGAAAAA